Molecule: ribosomal RNA, 274 nt
Filed under: uncultured bacterium
Lineage: Bacteria
Description: partial 16S ribosomal RNA
Rfam family: Bacterial small subunit ribosomal RNA
Source: RNAcentral
AUACGGAGGGUCCAAGCGUUAUCCGGAAUCACUGGGCGUAAAGGACGCGUAGGCGGGAAGCCAAGUCUGAUGUGAAAUCCUAUGGCUCAACCAUAGAACUGCAUUGGAAACUGGCUACCUAGAGUAUGGGAGGGGGAGAUGGAAUUAGUGGUGUAGGGGUAAAAUCCGUAGAUAUCACUAGGAAUACCGAAAGCGAAGGCGAUCUCCUGGAACAAUACUGACGCUAAGGCGUGAAAGCGUGGGGAGCAAACGGGAUUAGAAACCCUAGUAGUCC